Cyprinus carpio carpio is the source of this 1071-nucleotide long non-coding RNA. NCBI's taxonomy places the organism in Eukaryota, Metazoa, Chordata, Actinopteri, Cypriniformes, Cyprinidae. The record is from Ensembl.
GUUUAUAAAAAAAAAAAAAAAAAAGUAAUGCAGUGGUACACUGGCAAUGAGGCCUCUCCAUGUUGGACGAGAAGCCUAUAAAAGCUUUUGUGAGGAAACAAAAAUGCUUUUGACAGCCUGUCAACAAAUCUUGCCAUUAAAUAUUUAUUUUAGUGUAAGCUGUAUUAGUUUUUUUUUUUUUUUUUUUUUAAAGACAUUUUGUAAAAAUAUACAUUAUUUUUUAAUUAGGAAAAAACAGAUACAUAUAUGGGCUCUUUCUAUAUACCACAUUUCUUCACAUUUUAUUAAAGUGACAAAUUUCAAAAACCUUUUGAAAAACUAAAAACAAAACUACCCUGUAAUCACGCAAUGCUAAGACAGCACUUAUACAGUAUUUAAUAUGUUUUUAAACAUUGCUAAAAUGGAUGCGAUACCUCUUGUUACAUUGAAUAAUUGUAUACAUCUUAUAUAUAUGAUGUGUACACACACACACACACACACACACACACACAAUGUCCGAUCACACGAUGAUUGGCCUGUUAAGCGGUUGACGUCAGUAAAUUACAAAAGGGAGUACGGCUUCUUAACAGACCACAACUGCACUGCACACAAUAGCUGUGUAUACAUUCCAUUUCAUAUUUCUGUUAUGAAAUAUCAUUUAUUCAUAAGUUUAUAAAGCAACAGAUGUGUGAAGCCCAACUGUUAAACUUUCCAGCUCAUCUUUGGUGGUAGUGCAGCAGUACCUUCAGCGCGUGAACUCUCCUGCGGUCACCAGCUGCUGUUGUCAGAGUUUGUCAGGAGCAGAAGAAUGGAGAAAAGAGCUGGCACACUUCUCUUUCAGAAUCACAUCACUGUGGAAGAAGAGAUAACUAUUUGAUCCAAUGAAGAAAUGAGAGUCACUACAAAUGAAGUUCAGGAUUAUACAGAGAAACUCAACUGUCCUAACCAGGUGUGACAAAUGUUGAUACAAAAAAAAUAAACCCAUCUCUUCUAGUAAUCUGAAGACUUUAAUCACCUGAAACCACAACAAGCAGCAAGAAGUGUUGGGUAUCAUUUGAAUUAUCAAAUUCUGAUUCUGCUUAUUGAUUCAGA